GGUGGUAUGGUGUAACGGUAGCACGUAGUGUUGUGGAAUUCUUUGGAAUAUUACUGAUAAAGUGAUACUGAUCCGCUAAGAUCCGGGUUCGAUUCCCAGUACCGCCA
This is a non-coding RNA of Xylogone sp. PMI_703, 107 nucleotides long. Lineage: Eukaryota; Fungi; Ascomycota; Leotiomycetes. The record is from the annotation of a GenBank genome assembly.